RNAcentral lists this ribosomal RNA (253 nucleotides) under Flavobacterium sp. RNAcentral's name for it is "partial 16S ribosomal RNA". It matches the Rfam family "Bacterial small subunit ribosomal RNA", at positions 524 to 776 of the family's 1533-position model. RNAcentral also lists the same sequence under 3 other names. Lineage: Bacteria; Pseudomonadati; Bacteroidota; Flavobacteriia; Flavobacteriales; Flavobacteriaceae. The record is from RNAcentral.
UACGGAGGAUCCAAGCGUUAUCCGGAAUCAUUGGGUUUAAAGGGUCCGUAGGCGGUUUAGUAAGUCAGUGGUGAAAGCCCAUCGCUCAACGGUGGAACGGCCAUUGAUACUGCUAGACUUGAAUUAUUAGGAAGUAACUAGAAUAUGUAGUGUAGCGGUGAAAUGCUUAGAGAUUACAUGGAAUACCAAUUGCGAAGGCAGGUUACUACUAAUGGAUUGACGCUGAUGGACGAAAGCGUGGGUAGCGAACAGG